This 184-nucleotide ribosomal RNA is filed under the name Flammeovirga yaeyamensis. RNAcentral describes it as "partial 16S ribosomal RNA". It matches the Rfam family "Bacterial small subunit ribosomal RNA", at positions 1 to 179 of the family's 1533-position model. Lineage: Bacteria; Pseudomonadati; Bacteroidota; Cytophagia; Cytophagales; Flammeovirgaceae. The record is from RNAcentral.
ACAACGGAGAGUUUGAUCCUGGCUCAGGAUGAACGCUAGCGGCAGGCCUAAUACAUGCAAGUCGAGGGGUAACAUGAUCUGCUUGCAGAUUGAUGACGACCGGCGCACGGGUGCGUAACGCGUAUAUAACUUGCCUCAUACUGGAGAAUAGCCCGGAGAAAUUCGGAUUAAUGCUCCAUAGUAU